RNAcentral lists this ribosomal RNA (796 nucleotides) under uncultured archaeon. Its description in RNAcentral is "bacterial SSU rRNA". It matches the Rfam family "Archaeal small subunit ribosomal RNA", at positions 85 to 879 of the family's 1478-position model. The record is from RNAcentral.
ACUGCUCAGUAACACGUGGAUAACCUGCCCUUGGGUCCGGCAUAACUCCGGGAAACUGGAGAUAAUUCCGGAUAACGCAUAUAUGCUGGAAUGCUUUAUGCGUAAAAUGGAUUCGUCUGCCCAAGGAUGGGUCUGCGGCCUAUCAGGUAGUAGUGGGUGUAAUGUACCUACUAGCCUGCGACGGGUACGGGUUGUGAGAGCAAGAGCCCGGAGAUGGAUUCUGAGACAUGAAUCCAGGCCCUACGGGGCGCAGCAGGCGCGAAAACUUUACAAUGCGGGAAACCGUGAUAAGGGGACACCGAGUGCCAGCAUCAUAUGCUGGCUGUCCAGGUGUGUAAAAUACACCUGUUAGCAAGGGCCGGGCAAGACCGGUGCCAGCCGCCGCGGUAACACCGGCGGCCCGAGUGGUGAUCGUGAUUAUUGGGUCUAAAGGGUCCGUAGCCGGUUUGGUCAGUCCUCCGGGAAAUCUGAUAGCUCAACUAUUAGGCUUUCGGAGGAUACUGCCAGACUUGGAACCGGGAGAGGUAAGAGGUACUACAGGGGUAGGAGUGAAAUCUUGUAAUCCCUGUGGGACCACCUGUGGCGAAGGCGUCUUACCAGAACGGGUUCGACGGUGAGGGACGAAAGCUAGGGGCACGAACCGGAUUAGAUACCCGGGUAGUCCCAGCCGUAAACGAUGCUCGCUAGGUGUCAGGCAUGGCGCGACCGUGUCCGGUGCCGCAGGGAAGCCGUGAAGCGAGCCACCUGGGAAGUACGGCCGCAAGGCUGAAACUUAAAGGAAUUGGCGGGGGAGCAC